Molecule: long non-coding RNA, 834 nt
Filed under: Zea mays
Lineage: Eukaryota; Viridiplantae; Streptophyta; Magnoliopsida; Poales; Poaceae
Description: long non-coding RNA (ZMAY_LNC000594)
Source: RNAcentral
AUCCUGGACUAUCCAGAUCCAAACACACACACAUUCUCAGAUGCAUUUUGGAAGGGUACUGUCUUUCCAGAUUUCCUAAAAAUUUGCAUCACGAUGUCAAAAAAAAUUCUAGAACAUCCUAACAAGUGCAGCUGGAAAGGGUAAAGGAUUCAGUUUUCUUUGUCUGUUCACAUCUCUUUGUGCUUCAUUCCUAGAGUUUAUUUGGUUUAACACGGUGGCGAGUCAUUCACUCUAAUGCUCUGCAGGUAUAUAAGUUUGAUCUUGGUGCUUUAAACGAGAAUGUUGAAGGUUAAAUGCAUAAUCCCGAGCAGUGAAUUCUGGUAUCUCCUAACAGCUAAGUAUAUAAAGAAAUCAAAACCUUUAGUGAAACCCCCCUCUUUCUUUUAAUAAAAAUAGUCUUGGAAUCCAAAACAAUGUGUGGUAUCACCCAAAUCUUUCCAAAUUGUGGGAAAUGGAUUGUAUCAAUUAAUCUAUGAGUUUUACUGUAUUGUGCUCUCACUAACCGAGCAUCUUUGUUGAACUUAUAUUAUGUAGUACCUCACCUACUCUAAUUAUGUGGUGACUUGUUGCACUUGCAGCUCAAUUAAGAAGGUUACUGAUUUCUAGGGCUACACUUAUGUUUCGUUAACUGCUAAAAAUGUUGCUGAUUUCAUAGGCAACAUUGGGAAGAACUAUGUUGCCAUUAUUUCAAGUUUAGAUUCUGGGAAGAGGAGGGUAAUUGAUGCAUCCAGGUAACUAAAAUGUCUAGCUUCAACAAUCUCAUUGUUGCUUGGAUGUUUAGGCGCUUUUACAAUUUCUCGCUUGCAGUCAUGUUCGAAUACUUGGAUGACAAUG